GACGAACGCUGGCGGCGGGUUUAACACAUGCAAGUCGAGGGACGAAGCACUCUUCGGAGUGUGGUGACCGGCGAACGGGUGAGUAACACGUGAGGAACCUAUCUUGUGCUCUGGGAUAACCGCGGGAAACCGUGGCUAAUACCGGAUGUUCCGGUUCUGUCUCAUGACAGUUCCGGGAAAGCUCUGGCGGCACUUGAGGGUCUCGCGGCCUAUCAGCUUGUUGGUGAGGUAACGGCUCACCAAGGCGACGACGGGUAGCUGGAGUGAGAGCUCGAUCAGCCCCACAGGGACUGGGGAAGGGGCCAGGCUGAUACGUGGGGCAACAGCGGAGACUCGUGCAAAAAAGGCGGAAGCUUGAUGCAGCGACGCCGCGUGGGGGAAGACGGCUUUCGGUUGUAAAACUCUUUCAGGAGGGAAGAAGCGAGAGUGACGGUACCGCAAGAAGAAGCCCCGGCUAACUACGUG
RNAcentral lists this ribosomal RNA (465 nucleotides) under uncultured bacterium. Its description in RNAcentral is "partial 16S ribosomal RNA". It matches the Rfam family "Bacterial small subunit ribosomal RNA", at positions 28 to 507 of the family's 1533-position model. The record is from RNAcentral.